Molecule: ribosomal RNA, 1255 nt
Filed under: Cellulomonas sp. ZYG2
Lineage: Bacteria; Bacillati; Actinomycetota; Actinomycetes; Micrococcales; Cellulomonadaceae
Description: bacterial SSU rRNA
Rfam family: Bacterial small subunit ribosomal RNA
Source: RNAcentral
GGAACCUAGCUGGUGGCGUGCUUACACAUGCAAGUCGAACGGUGAAGCCCAGCUUGCUGGGUGGAUCAGUGGCGAACGGGUGAGUAACACGUGAGCAACCUGCCCUCCACUUCGGGAUAAGCCUUGGAAACGGGGUCUAAUACCGGAUAUGAGCGCCUGCCGCAUGGUGGGUGUUGGAAAGUUUUUCGGUGGGGGAUGGGCUCGCGGCCUAUCAGCUUGUUGGUGGGGUAAUGGCCUACCAAGGCGUCGACGGGUAGCCGGCCUGAGAGGGCGACCGGCCACACUGGGACUGAGACACGGCCCAGACUCCUACGGGAGGCAGCAGUGGGGAAUAUUGCACAAUGGGCGAAAGCCUGAUGCAGCGACGCCACGUGAGGGAUGACGGCCUUCGGGUUGUAAACCUCUUUCAGCAGGGAAGAAGCGCAAGUGACGGUACCUGCAGAAGAAGCGCCGGCUAACUACGUGCCAGCAGCCGCGGUAAUACGUAGGGCGCAAGCGUUGUCCGGAAUUAUUGGGCGUAAAGAGCUCGUAGGCGGUCUGUCGCGUCUGGUGUGAAAUCCCAUGGCUCAACUGUGGGCUUGCAUCGGGUACGGGCAGACUAGAGUGCUGUAGGGGAGACUGGAAUUCCUGGUGUAGCGGUGGAAUGCGCAGAUAUCAGGAGGAACACCGAUGGCGAAGGCAGGUCUCUGGGCAGUUACUGACGCUGAGGAGCGAAAGCAUGGGGAGCGAACAGGAUUAGAUACCCUGGUAGUCCAUGCCGUAAACGUUGGGCACUAGGUGUGGGGCCAGUUCCACUGGUUCUGUGCCGCAGCUAACGCAUUAAGUGCCCCGCCUGGGGGAGUACGGCCGCAAGGCUAAAACUCAAAGGAAUUGACGGGGGCCCGCACAAGCGGCGGAGCAUGCGGAUUAAUUCGAUGCAACGCGAAGACCUUACCAAGGCUUGACAUGUACGAGAAAGCCCAGAGAUGGGGUUCUCUUUGGACACUCGUACACAGGUGGUGCAUGGUGUCGUCAGCUCGUGUCGUGAGAUGUUGGUUAAGUCCCGCACGAGCGCACCCUUAUUCUAUGUUGCCAGCGGUUAUGCCGGACUCAUGGGAGACUGCCGGUCACUCGAGAGGUGGGAUGACGUCAAUCAUCAUGCCUUAUGUCUUGGCUCACGCAUGCUACCAUGCCGGUUACAAGGCUGGCAUCGUGAGGUGGACGAUCAAGCGAUUCAGUCGGAUCGACUGGAACUGCACCCGUAGAUCUUCGAGAG